UGAAACUUAACCAAAAAAAAUUCAAGCAUUAACCACAUUUCCAUAUUAGAAAUCUGUGACAUUCUUCAUGAGAAACAAUAAAAUAUUCUUAAUUUACCCUCAAAAUUCUCUUAAUAUGCCAUUUCACAAACAUUAGAAGCAAAAACUUAAUAUCAUGGUCAAAGAAUUUACUUAACCACAUUGAAAAAAUCUACGUUGAGCUCCAAAGGGUCUUUGGACACAAUCAAGAAGCCCAUGAUAUUCGAAUAAUAAUAAUAAGUAAUAAGAAUCCCAUGCCAUUUUUUUCCAAAAAGACACCAGUUAUAUUUUUUAUAAAGCCCCAAUUCGUUUUUCUAUUGGCUUUCUAUAACCCAUGAUGGGUAACCCAUGAUAGGUAAUAAAGCUACCAAACAGCCCCUAAGAAAGUAUCCGGUGUCAGUGAAGCUAGAUUUGUGUGAAACUAUAAUUAACUAAUAAUAUUUUAAAAAUGUCAGGGUUGUGACAACAUAGUAAUCAUCUAAGGGUUGUGACGACAUACUUGGUAGCGCCACCAUGCAUAUAGCGGAGAUGCAUACACAUCUGAAUCGUGCCCAAAGCAAUCUUCAUUCUUCUUGAGCAGGUCAACGUAGCACAUACUCAUUUUUUAUCACAUAAACUUUGAUGAACUGAUAUCAGUAUUGCAAACAGAACCAAAUAACCAAAUAAGUGCAUAACAGAACCAAAUAACCAAAUUUGAUUUCGUUUUAGUUUAAUGGUUUUCUAACCAUUAAUCAAUCAAAAACAAAGACCAGAAAGUUCAGGACUUAC
Molecule: long non-coding RNA, 786 nt
Filed under: Helianthus annuus (common sunflower)
Lineage: Eukaryota; Viridiplantae; Streptophyta; Magnoliopsida; Asterales; Asteraceae
Description: sRNA HanXRQr2_Chr13g0600581
Source: RNAcentral